GACGAACGCUGGCGGCGUGCUUAACACAUGCAAGUCGAACGAGAAGCCGUAGCAAUACGGUUGUAAAGUGGCAAACGGGUGAGUAACGCGUGGGUAAUCUACCCUUGGGUGGGGAAUAACUUCCCGAAAGGGGAGCUAAUGCCGACAUGUGCGACACUUUCGCAAGGAGGUGUUGAAAGCCGUAUCGAGGAUACGGCGCCCAAGGAUGAGCUCACGUCCUAUCAGCUUGUUGGCGGGGUAACGGCCACCAAGGCUCCGACGGUAGCUGGUCUGAGAGGACGACCAGCCACACUGGCACUGCGACACGGGCCAGACUCCUACGGGAGGCAGCAGUGAGGAAUAUUGCGCAAUGGACGACAGUCUGACGCAGCGACGCCGCGUGGGGGAUGAAGG
RNAcentral lists this ribosomal RNA (393 nucleotides) under uncultured bacterium. RNAcentral's name for it is "bacterial SSU rRNA". It matches the Rfam family "Bacterial small subunit ribosomal RNA", at positions 28 to 414 of the family's 1533-position model. The record is from RNAcentral.